CUAAUAAUUUUAUUUAAAAGCAAAAUGAGUCCUAGCUGGUUUGGCUCAGUGGAUAGAGCGUCAGCCAGUGGACUGAAGGGUCCUGGGAUCGAUUCCAGUCAAGGGCACAUGCCCAGGUUGCAGGCUUUAUCCUCAGUACGGGGCAUGUAGAAGGAAGCCCGAUCAAUGAUUCUCUCUCAUCAUUGAUGUUUCUAUCUCUCCCUCUCCCUCUCUGAAAUCAAUAAAAAUAUAUUUAAAAAAUAAAUAAAUAAAAAUAAAAGCAAAAUGUAAUAAACAAAACAACUUUGAAAAAUCAUCCUGUGCUACCUCUACUUCUCAAGAAUGUCUAACCAAGGCAGGGGAAGGCCUAUGUAACAGAGUAAAACAUCUUUACUGAUUCUUUUAAAAGACUAUUUCAAAAUAACUACAAAGCUAAAGUCAGGAAGACAGUGUGGUACUGGCAGAAGGAUAAACAUACAAAUAAUUGGAACAGAAUUGAAAGUCCAGAAAUAAACCCUUACAUUUAUGGACAACUGAUUUUUAAAAAAUAUAUAAAUUUUUAUUGCCCUAACUGGAAGAGAGAGUGAGAGAGAGAGACAGAAACAUCAAUGAUGAGACAGAAUCACUGGGGAUCGAGUCCACAACCUGGGCAUGUGCCCUGAUGGGGAAUCAAACCAGGACCUGGUUCACAGGCUGACACUUAAUCAGUGAGCAACAAUCCCUGGACAGAUUUCAUUCUUCUUUUUGGCUGAGUAAUAUGGCAUUGUGUAUAUGUGCCACAUCUUCUUUAUCCAAUCUUCUAUUGAUGGACACUUAUGUUGCUUCCAUAUCUUGGCUAUUGUUGAAAUGCUGCAAUGAACACAGGGGUGCAUAUUAUCUUUUUGAAUUACUGUUUUGGAUUUUUUUGGAUAUAUAUUCAGAAGUGGGAUUGCUGGGUGAUAUGGCAGUUCUAGUUUUAAUUUUUUGAGGAACCUCCAUACCGUUUUCCAUAGUGGCUGCACCAAUUCAAAAUGGUAUACAUGGAGUUACCAUAUAAUCCAACAAUUCCAGUCCUAGGUAUAUACCCAAGAGAAGGAAAAAGAUGAUUCCACACAAAAAUGUGUUCACAGCUGUUCAUAGCAACAUUAUUCACAGUAGCCAAAAAGUAUAAAUAACCCAAUGCCCAUCAACUGAAGAGUGGAUAAGCAAAUUGUGGUAUAUCCAUAAGGUGAAAGAUUAUUUGGCAAUAAAAAGGAAAGAAUUACUAAUACUAGUACAUGCUACAACACUGAUGAAUCUUCAAAAUGUUAGGUUAAAAAAAAAAAGCCAGCCACAAAAGACCACAUAUUGUACAACUCUAUUCAGGAAUUUGCAUGUCAUCCUUGUGUGGGGGUCAUGUUAAUCUUCUUGGUACAAAUCUAUUUAUAUAAAAUGUCUAGAACAGGUAAACCAUAGAAUAGGUAAACUUAUAGAGACAGAAAGUAGAUUACUGACUUCCUAGGGCCUGGAGCAGGUGGAGAGAGGUAAGUGGGAGGGAAAUGAUAAGGAGUAUUGUGUUUCUUUUUGGGGUGAUGUAAUACUCUAAAAUUGAUUGUGGUGAUGGUUGCACAACUCUGUAUCCCAGAUAAUGUAAAUACUAAAAAUUAUAUAUUUAAGAGGGU
This is a long non-coding RNA of Myotis daubentonii (Daubenton's bat), 1619 nucleotides long. RefSeq lists it as uncharacterized. The record is from RefSeq and is a predicted model, not a curated record. NCBI's taxonomy places the organism in Eukaryota, Metazoa, Chordata, Mammalia, Chiroptera, Vespertilionidae. The transcript is spliced from 3 exons.